RNAcentral lists this ribosomal RNA (301 nucleotides) under uncultured bacterium. Its description in RNAcentral is "partial 16S ribosomal RNA". It matches the Rfam family "Bacterial small subunit ribosomal RNA", at positions 509 to 807 of the family's 1533-position model. The record is from RNAcentral.
CAGCCGCCGCGGGAAAACGGAGGGGGCUAGCGUUGUUCGGAAUUACUGGGCGUAAAGCGCACGUAGGCGGCUUGGUAAGUUAGAGGUGAAAGCCCGGAGCUCAACUCCGGAAUUGCCUCUAAGACUGCCGAGCUAGCAGGUGAGAGAGGUAAGUGGAAUUCCGAGUGUAGAGGUGAAAUUCGUAGAUAUUCGGAAGAACACCAGUGGCGAAGGCGGCUUACUGGCUCAUACUGGACGCUGAGGUGCGAAAGCGUGGGGAGCAAACAGGAUUAGAGACCCGCGUAGUCCAUGUCUCUUAUAC